CUUUGAUUUGCAGAAUAUUUAGAGAAGCUGAACUCUGUAGAAUAGUUAGUUUUCACAAUUGUAACUCUUUUGCCAACAUAGUUGGAUAUUGUCCUGGUGACUAAUUCCCCCAACAACUUCAGUUCAUUUGAUGGUUAUGAGGUGCCAAGUUUCAACAGCUUGAAUGAAGUUGAGAAGCCACACAACAGACAGAAGAAUAAAUUCCUUCACCAAAGACUUUCACAAGGGUCCAUCACAUCAUCAGCUGCAAGAUGUGAGAUUCAAAGUUUGUGAGAAGAUUUGUAGCUCGGGUGCUCGUUGCUGUGGUUCUGUUCACCGAGCUGGG
Molecule: non-coding RNA, 325 nt
Organism: Chiloscyllium plagiosum (whitespotted bambooshark)
Lineage: Eukaryota; Metazoa; Chordata; Chondrichthyes; Orectolobiformes; Hemiscylliidae
Source: RefSeq, a predicted model, not a curated record